This 497-nucleotide ribosomal RNA is filed under the name uncultured bacterium. RNAcentral describes it as "bacterial SSU rRNA". It matches the Rfam family "Bacterial small subunit ribosomal RNA", at positions 28 to 517 of the family's 1533-position model. The record is from RNAcentral.
GAUGAACGCUAGCGACAGGCUUAACACAUGCAAGUCGAGGGGCGGCGAGAAAGUGCUUGCACUUUUGUCGGCGACCGGCGCACGGGUGAGUAACACGUAUGCAACCUGCCCUUGUCAGGGGGAUAAGCGGGGGAAACCCCGUCUAAUACCGCAUAUAUGAUUUGGAGGCAUCUUUAAAUCAGGAAAGAAUUAUCGGACAAGGAUGGGCAUGCGGGACAUUAGGUAGUUGGGGGGUGUAACGGACCACCAAGCCGACGAUGUCUAGGGGUUCUGAGAGGAAGGUCCCCCACACUGGAACUGAGACACGGUCCAGACUCCUACGGGAGGCAGCAGUGAGGAAUAUUGGUCAAUGGAGGCAACUCUGAACCAGCCAAGUAGCGUGCAGGAUGACGGCCCUAUGGGUUGUAAACUGCUUUUAUGCGGGGAUAAAUGAUCCUACGUGUAGGAUUUUGCAGGUACCGCAUGAAUAAGGCCGGCUAAUUCCGUGCCAGCAGCCG